GCAGUGGGGAAUAUUGCACAAUGGGCGGAAGCCUGAUGCAGCGACGCCGCGUGAGGGAUGAAGGCCUUCGGGUUGUAAACCUCUUUCAGCAGGGACGAAGCGUGAGUGACGGUACCUGCAGAAGAAGCACCGGCUAACUACGUGCCAGCAGCCGCGGUAAUACGUAGGGUGCGAGCGUUGUCCGGAAUUACUGGGCGUAAAGAGUUCGUAGGCGGUUUGUCGCGUCGUUUGUGAAAACCCGGGGCUCAACUUCGGGCUUGCAGGCGAUACGGGCAGACUUGAGUGUUUCAGGGGAGACUGGAAUUCCUGGUGUAGCGGUGAAAUGCGCAGAUAUCAGGAGGAACACCGGUGGCGAAGGCGGGUCUCUGGGAAACAACUGACGCUGAGGAACGAAAGCGUGGGUAGCAAACAGGAUUAGA
Molecule: ribosomal RNA, 419 nt
Filed under: uncultured bacterium
Lineage: Bacteria
Description: bacterial SSU rRNA
Rfam family: Bacterial small subunit ribosomal RNA
Source: RNAcentral